RNAcentral lists this ribosomal RNA (1299 nucleotides) under Triticum aestivum (bread wheat). RNAcentral's name for it is "partial small subunit ribosomal RNA". Lineage: Eukaryota; Viridiplantae; Streptophyta; Magnoliopsida; Poales; Poaceae. The record is from RNAcentral.
AUGGCAACCUACCGGCAGGGAGAUCGCCUCGAGGCGCUGGAGCGGAUCCUAUCCCACCUCCCGUCCGACGAGGCCACGCGCGCCACCGCGCUGUCCCGCCGGUGGCGCCGCGUCUGCGACGGCGUGCCGGUCGUGGACCUCGUCGACCGCAAGACGGACCGCCGGGGGCGGGGACUCAACCUCCCUGUGUGCUUCGACAGCAAGGUGACGGGCGCCAUCUUCUCCAAGGGCCCCACCACGCCGAUCCGUGUCCUCCGGCUGCACGCGCGCCAGCCGCCGGACGACCUACUCGACAGCUGGAUCGCCACCGCCGCCUCCUCCGGCGCCGAGGAGGUCGACCUCGCGCUGCAGGGCAGCUACACCAGGACGCCGCGCCAGCUCUUCCGGUGCGCCAGGCUGCGCCGCCUGCGCCUGGCCAACUGGACGCUCGACCUGCCCUGGGGCGUCGUAGUCGCCGCGUCGCUCCAGACGCUCUGCCUGAAGCGGAUCAUGGCGCCUGCCGCGGUGCUGCAGCAGCUGGUCUCGAGCUGCCCGCACCUCGCCGACCUGACGCUCGAGGAGUGCCCGACCGCCACCACGAUCACCGGCGGCCUCCCUUCGGACACGUUCCUAGACGUCCCCAACUAUGGCCAAGUGGCGGCGCUGACGAUCGAUAUCUGCGAGGACCUCACAAGCAAAGCACCAAUGGAGGUUGCUCCAGUCUUGGAGCUCAUCAGCCGGUGCAAGAAUCUGACGUACCUUCGCCUCGAGCCGCGCCCCUCAAUGGCCUACUGCAGCAGCGAGAUCACAGCUAUAGCCAACGACCACUUACCCCAGCUCCGGCACCUGGUCCUCAAGGGGUUCUUGGCCGCCGAUCACGUCGUCCGGUCCGUCGCCGUCCUGGUCGCCAGCACCCUACACCUGGAAGCGCUGUCGUUGUUUCCUCUGGGCUCCGAGACAUUGAAGAAGACAUACUGCUCUGACGAUGAGUACGGCGGCGACUCAGAUUCAGACCCUGAGCCGGAGAUCUGUGACAACGACGACGACGACGACACCUAUGAUGAUGGCUGGAUGUUCAGGAGCAUGUGGCGAUGGGGCAUCCCUUGCUCCCGCCAUAGCCUCAAAAGGAUCAACAUCGCGAAGUACACUGGGAAUGGCUUCGACAGGAUACUUGCAAAUUUUCUGCUGUCGAAUGGUGCAGCUUUGGAGGAAUUCUCAGUGGCCUUAGCGGCUCCACUGUGGCCGCGCAGGGAGGAGAUUGCAAUGAUGUUCAGAUCCUGGCGACAUAAUCCCAGGACCAUAGUAACUUGUACUAGCUAG